RNAcentral lists this ribosomal RNA (180 nucleotides) under uncultured Glomeromycotina. Its description in RNAcentral is "partial small subunit ribosomal RNA". The record is from RNAcentral. Lineage: Eukaryota; Fungi; Glomeromycota.
GGCCUGGCUGGGUGGUCUUGCCGCAAGGUAAGCACUGCUCUGGUCGGGUCUUUCCUUCUGGCGAACCAGUGUGCUCUUAAUUGAGUGCGCUGGGGAUCCAGGACUUUUACUUUGAAAAAAUUAGAGUGUUUAAAGCAGGCUCACGCUUGAAUACAUUAGCAUGGAAUAACGAAAUAGGAC